UACGUAGGGUCCGAGCGUUGUCCGGAAUUAUUGGGCGUAAAGGGCUCGUAGGCGGUUUGUCGCGUCGGGAGUGAAAACACGGGGCUUAACCCCGUGCCUGCUUCCGAUACGGGCAGACUAGAGGUAUGCAGGGGAGAACGGAAUUCCUGGUGUAGCGGUGAAAUGCGCAGAUAUCAGGAGGAACACCGGUGGCGAAGGCGGUUCUCUGGGCAUUACCUGACGCUGAGGAGCGAAAGUGUCGGGAGCGAACAGG
This 253-nucleotide ribosomal RNA is filed under the name uncultured bacterium. RNAcentral's name for it is "partial 16S ribosomal RNA". It matches the Rfam family "Bacterial small subunit ribosomal RNA", at positions 524 to 776 of the family's 1533-position model. The record is from RNAcentral.